Molecule: ribosomal RNA, 495 nt
Filed under: uncultured bacterium
Lineage: Bacteria
Description: partial 16S ribosomal RNA
Rfam family: Bacterial small subunit ribosomal RNA
Source: RNAcentral
GACGAACGCUGGCGGCGUGCCUAAUACAUGCAAGUAGAACGCUGACGGAGGAGCUUGCUUCUCUGGCUGAGUUGCGAAGGGGUGAGUAACGCGUAGGUAACCUGCCUGGUAGCGGGGGGGAACUAUUGGAAACGAUAGCUAAUCCCGCAUAACAGUCGAUGUUGCAUGACAUUUGCUUAAAAGUUGCACUUGCAUCAAUUCCAGAUGGCCCUGCGUUGUUUUCGCUAGGUUGUGGGGUAACGGCUCCACAAGGCGACGAUACAUACCCGACCUGGGAGGGGUGUCGGCCAACAUGGGACUUGGACAAGGCCCAAGAUCCUACGGGAGGCAGCAGUAGGGGAUCUUCGGCCAUGGGCGGAAGGCUGACCGAACAACGCCGCGGGAGGUAAGAAGGGUUUCGGGUCGUAAAGCUCUGUUGGAAGGGAAGAAAGAGUGUGAGAGUGGAAAGUUCACACUGUGACGGUAUCUAACCAGAAAGCGACGGCUAACUACGUG